GGUUAAGCGACUAAGCGUACACGGUGGAUGCCCUGGCAGUCAGAGGCGAUGAAGGACGUGCUAAUCUGCGAUAAGCGUCGGUAAGGUGAUAUGAACCGUUAUAACCGGCGAUUUCCGAAUGGGGAAACCCAGUGUGUUUCGACACACUAUCAUUAACUGAAUCCAUAGGUUAAUGAGGCGAACCGGGGGAACUGAAACAUCUAAGUACCCCGAGGAAAAGAAAUCAACCGAGAUUCCCCCAGUAGCGGCGAGCGAACGGGGAGGAGCCCAGAGCCUGAAUCAGUGUGUGUGUUAGUGGAAGCGUCUGGAAAGGCGCGCGAUACAGGGUGACAGCCCCGUACACAAAAAUACACAUAUUGUGAGCUCGAUGAGUAGGGCGGGACACGUGGUAUCCUGUCUGAAUAUGGGGGGACCAUCCUCCAAGGCUAAAUACUCCUGACUGACCGAUAGUGAACCAGUACCGUGAGGGAAAGGCGAAAAGAACCCCGGCGAGGGGAGUGAAAAAGAACCUGAAACCGUGUACGUACAAGCAGUGGGAGCACGCUUAGGCGUGUGACUGCGUACCUUUUGUAUAAUGGGUCAGCGACUUAUAUUCUGUAGCAAGGUUAACCGAAUAGGGGAGCCGAAGGGAAACCGAGUCUUAACUGGGCGUUAAGUUGCAGGGUAUAGACCCGAAACCCGGUGAUCUAGCCAUGGGCAGGUUGAAGGUUGGGUAACACUAACUGGAGGACCGAACCGACUAAUGUUGAAAAAUUAGCGGAUGACUUGUGGCUGGGGGUGAAAGGCCAAUCAAACCGGGAGAUAGCUGGUUCUCCCCGAAAGCUAUUUAGGUAGCGCCUCGUGAAUUCAUCUCCGGGGGUAGAGCACUGUUUCGGCAAGGGGGUCAUCCCGACUUACCAACCCGAUGCAAACUGCGAAUACCGGAGAAUGUUAUCACGGGAGACACACGGCGGGUGCUAACGUCCGUCGUGAAGAGGGAAACAACCCAGACCGCCAGCUAAGGUCCCAAAGUCAUGGUUAAGUGGGAAACGAUGUGGGAAGGCCCAGACAGCCAGGAUGUUGGCUUAGAAGCAGCCAUCAUUUAAAGAAAGCGUAAUAGCUCACUGGUCGAGUCGGCCUGCGCGGAAGAUGUAACGGGGCUAAACCAUGCACCGAAGCUGCGGCAGCGACGCUUAUGCGUUGUUGGGUAGGGGAGCGUUCUGUAAGCCUGCGAAGGUGUGCUGUGAGGCAUGCUGGAGGUAUCAGAAGUGCGAAUGCUGACAUAAGUAACGAUAAAGCGGGUGAAAAGCCCGCUCGCCGGAAGACCAAGGGUUCCUGUCCAACGUUAAUCGGGGCAGGGUGAGUCGACCCCUAAGGCGAGGCCGAAAGGCGUAGUCGAUGGGAAACAGGUUAAUAUUCCUGUACUUGGUGUUACUGCGAAGGGGGGACGGAGAAGGCUAUGUUGGCCGGGCGACGGUUGUCCCGGUUUAAGCGUGUAGGCUGGUUUUCCAGGCAAAUCCGGAAAAUCAAGGCUGAGGCGUGAUGACGAGGCACUACGGUGCUGAAGCAACAAAUGCCCUGCUUCCAGGAAAAGCCUCUAAGCAUCAGGUAACAUCAAAUCGUACCCCAAACCGACACAGGUGGUCAGGUAGAGAAUACCAAGGCGCUUGAGAGAACUCGGGUGAAGGAACUAGGCAAAAUGGUGCCGUAACUUCGGGAGAAGGCACGC
Molecule: ribosomal RNA, 1708 nt
Filed under: Shigella sonnei
Lineage: Bacteria; Pseudomonadati; Pseudomonadota; Gammaproteobacteria; Enterobacterales; Enterobacteriaceae
Description: partial 23S ribosomal RNA
Rfam family: Bacterial large subunit ribosomal RNA
Source: RNAcentral